Molecule: ribosomal RNA, 253 nt
Filed under: uncultured bacterium
Lineage: Bacteria
Description: partial 16S ribosomal RNA
Rfam family: Bacterial small subunit ribosomal RNA
Source: RNAcentral
UACGAAGGGGGCUAGCGUUGUCCGGAAUUACUGGGCGUAAAGCGCGCGUAGGCGGCUUUUCAAGUCGAUUGUGAAAUCCCCGGGCUUAACCUGGGAACUGCAGUCGAGACUGUCUAGCUAGAGUAUGGGAGAGGGAAGUGGAAUUUCAGGUGUAGCGGUGAAAUGCGUAGAUAUCUGAAGGAACAUCAGUGGCGAAAGCGACUUCCUGGACCAAUACUGACGCUCAUGUGCGAAAGCGUGGGGAGCAAACAGG